GACCGUCGCCCCCCUCGCACUUUCGUCCGCCGCUCGCUCCACAAUCCAUUGGUUGCCACCGCGACCUCCAUCAUCCAUCCCCAUCCGAUCCCGGGCUUACUGCUCGCUGCCGCGCCCAAUCUCCGCAGCCUGCACGGUCCCGUUGUCCACCGGAUCAAUCCAGCACCUCCACGACGGUCCCCUCGACGAGACCACUCGGUUUUGCCGCUCCCCGUCGCCUGCCGUCCGCCGGAACGCUGCCACCGCGAGCAGUCCCAUAACCGGCCGCCGUCGGUCGGAUUCUGGCCAUCCCUGUUCUUCUCCACACCUGGUGGUGCAAUUCUACUACUGGAAAGCACAUGAGCUGGCAGCAAGGAGGGAACAAAGUGCCGUUGGUUCAAGACAGUCUGCUAUCCAGUUAUAAUACAUCAGUCAAGAGGAAUAGCAGUACCAUUACCAUACAAUCACACACUUGCACGAACCAUAUUUGGAUCAAUUAACACUGCAGAAAUUGCUUUUGAGGAAUGAUUUUGCAUUAGGUGUUGCUAUGUGGGAGAAUUAUUCAGAAGAGUUAAAGAAACAGUUGUUGAUAUUUUUGCCAUACUGGUUGUCCAAUGAAUCCAUUUUCGCCGUUGAUUCCUCUGAGCUACAGAGCUGAACCAAUCUAAUUCUUCAAUGGUAAUUUGGAUCUGCCUCAUGCUUCAGCGAUAUAGCUAGAGGGGAGGUAUGAUUUUCUCAAGCUCCACUGGGAAUGCUGGUACAGUAUAUUCCCAUCAACGUCAUAAAAGAUGAAGUCAGCUUGAUCCUGGUGUAGCUGGAGGGACUUGAACCCUUGCCCAUCAGAAAAGAACUCGAGGCUAUCUUGAUUUGGCUGGAAGAAUCCUCUCCAUGCUCUGGAACCACCACCACCUGUGAAGUAUUGGAUUGGACUGGAAGCAACAGAAGCGUGUACGCUAUGUAGGUAAGACCACUUCACGUGAUUUGUUAAUAUUGGCAUGCAUGUUGAAUUCUAAAUUACUAUAAAAAUUGACUUUGGUAUAAAUGGAUGCUAACCUGUCUCUGCUGCUUAUGUGUUCCAGGCAGUGGUCAUACUCAUUGAUGUAGAAGUCAAUGCCGUUAAUCUGGAAUGUUGCAAAAUUAUUAAGAAACAAUCCUUUUCUGUAUACAACAAUAUGAUUGAUAUGAAAGCUUCCACAGGUAUUCUAGGGGCUACCUGAUUCUGCAGUACAUGUCUUGGUGGAAAAGUGGCCAGAGCGUUGAGAUUUGUAAGGUGAGUAUACUACUUUGUAAGGUGAGUACAUGUCUAGGUAUGUAAUUAUGAAACAUUUCCACAAAUAAUUUUUAGUAUCUUCUUCUAAAGUAAUAAUUUUAUAGUAUUUUUUGGGUUAAUAAUUAUCUCCUUUUUUGAUACAAAUUGGACGAACUAUUUGUGGUAUACCUUAAUACUUACUUUAUAUAUAAUGUGGUUCAUAAUAUUCAAUAUUUCAUGAUAUUUACUUUUGUGUUGUACUAUAGUUUUUUCUGCCCGUAGCAACUAACGGGCAUGAUCCUAGUCAUUUAUAAUGGAGGUUCAUGCUGCAAACCUUAGGUACUGAUACCAUUUAUAAUGGACGUUCUUUACAAUACCAUUGUUCACGAGUGAAAAUCAAUCAGAAUUUAUCUGAAACAAAAUUUUCUUGUGUUCAGACGCCGGUCGAAAAUAAAAAUUUAUUGUGUUUAGACGCAGUGUGAUUUGUUGCAUACUUUCGCUGUGUACUCCCUCCGUUCCAUAAAAAGUACAAUUCUGCAUUUGAACAAAAACCCACAAAGAGUGCAACUUUAGAGGUUGGAUCUCAACUUCAUGCCUAAAUAAAAAUGGUAAGAUUUGAUUUGCAUGUCAAAAUUAACUGCAUGUGGCAAACCCAUGAGGGUAUAAGAGUCUUUUCAUGCGAUCACUAAUCUAUCUUAAAAAGCUAUAAUUGCACUUUUCAUGAGACGGAUGGAGUAUGUCUAUUUAGUUGUUAGAUUUGAUGUUUUAUAUUAUUUGCUCGACCCACCACCGGAAACCCGCUAUUUGCCGUGUGUGCUCGAAAGCACGGUAAAGAACCUCUUCGCCGUGUGCACACACGGUAAAGAUAAACACACGGCAAAACACGUGUGCUUUUUUUGGCACAUGGUGAAGCCACUUUGCCGUGUGCUAUAUUUUGGCACACGGCAAAGUAAUAUAUAUCCAUGUGUUUAUUUACACACGGCAAAAUAAUAAAAAAAUUAUCUUCUCAUCUCGAAAUUUUUGACAUAUGGAAAUUUAAAAAAAAUCGGAUAUUUGCCGUGUGCCUUGAUCUCGCACACGGCAAAGACUUACUUUGUCGUGUGCCAAAUCAAGGCACAUGGCAAAUGACUAAGCUUUGCCAUGUGCUAAGUGAGAUUUAAAUUUUGUAAAUGAUCUCGGAUGGAGAAACGGCCAAAAUGAAAGUUGUAGAUUUUGAAAAAUUAUGAUACUCUGUAGUUGACAACUUUUUUAUUUGAAUUCGUUUAAGGUCUCACUCGGUAUAAAUGAAUCUAGCUUUUAAAAGAUAGUACACUGCGUAGGCCGAUAGAACUGAUCCAUAUCAGCCCUCCUGCUAAGGUUGAGCCAACUACUAGUUCAUAGCAAUUAAAAGAUAGUACAAGAGAUUACUUCUUUAAUGAUCUAGCUUUUAGCACAAUAAUAUAUAAAUGAAUCUACGUCUUAAUUAAGAGAUAGCUCUUCUCUUUCAUCUCCUUUUCUCUCUUCCACCUAGACAUACAUAUUGUAUUUAACUCCGUAUAUGCUAGCUGCCUUGGCAUCAUUGGAGGAGGCCUCAGGAGAACUAGUAAUCGCCAUCGACGACAUGGCUAUGAUAUGGCGAACAAAUACACAGAAGCACGUCGCAUUACUGUAUGAUUAUUACAUGCAGCAUUUCUGUCAUGGAUUUGACGCUCCAGUUGACGCGCAGGCACAGCCGAGGACGGCGUGGCAGUCGCACGCGUGCGCAUGGACCCCGACCGCGCGCAACGGUUGCACGGCAACGAAACCCCAAGCGUGCAAGCAAACGCGCGUCCAUGCACAUCGCCCGGCCUGCGUCCGCCGCCGUCCUCCUCCCUCCAUGCACGCGUGGAGGGGCAAGCACCUGAGACGGCCAUGCUGGCAGCAAGCAAACCGGGGCAGCGGGCGGCGAGGUGCCAGUGCCUGGCGCCGGCUGAAGUAUUUAAUGCACCCAGGUGGGCGGCCACGCGACCACGACGUCUUUGUGCUGCGUCGCCGUUGGCGGACCGCGCGUCGGCAGCCGGCCGGUUGCUUGCGGCGGCAGGCAGCAUGUAUGCGUGCCGCCGAACGUGGGGAAGGCGGUUGCAGACAUGGAGUGGCAGUGCAGUGUGCAGCGACGUGCUGUGGUUCUCACGAGGGGUAAAUAUCCCUGGCAAGUUACUUUUCACCAUUGCUGCAGUUCUUAUGGCCUCCUUCCUGACAACACAUUCCGUUAGGCAACCCCCAAGAACAGCGUCUAGCUCCUCUUUGCAAUCUAAUACGCUUAAUGGUUUUACGUUGUAUGGAACCCUCCUUUAAAUUCCCUUUGCAAAAGUUGAGCAAACUCUGACCCAUAUAAGGUUAGCCCAAACUUUACUUGAUUUGUAACAUCGGUAUAACUUUUUUGUUCCAUUUGAUUUGUUACAUUGUGUAUAAAUUCUUUGUUCUGUGA
Long non-coding RNA from Panicum virgatum (switchgrass), 3674 nucleotides. RefSeq lists it as uncharacterized. The transcript is spliced from 3 exons. The record is from RefSeq and is a predicted model, not a curated record. NCBI's taxonomy places the organism in Eukaryota, Viridiplantae, Streptophyta, Magnoliopsida, Poales, Poaceae.